GCAAGCAGCUGGAGAGACCAAGUUAAAACGUGGAAAAUCUGCCUUGUUUUUUUCACAGGAGCCGAUCUAAGCAUACACUUUUCUUAAUCGGACGGCUUGAAUUGCUAUGGUCGGAAAUUUAAUUUGCCGCACCUUUUCCUUCUUCAGACAGCCGCGAAGAAAAUCUGCAUGCAUGUAAACAAGGGAGUCAAAAAAAAAACAAGGGAGUUGUGAAGGACGAACAGAACACGGAGGGCAGCGUCAGCAAAAAGCGUCGUGAAGCAGGGGCAGUUGCGUUCCUGUCACCCAUUGAACUAUUCAAUUAUCCUGUUGCGUCAUCGAUGGCACCAGCUAAACGUGAUAAGCUUAAUUAAUUGGUUAAAGAAAGGUCAGCAUGAUAAAGUUUGCAAAAAAAAAUUAAGGAAAAAAAUUAUACAAAUUCAUGUCACUUAUUUUGGGACGGAAGGAGUACUACCCAACACAACUGAUAUUUACGAUCUCUCGGGAUAAAACAAGAUGAUAUUUUGCCUAAAAAAACAAGAUGACAUUUGUUGGAAAUUAUAUACAAUAUUUCGUCUGUGAAUUUUCGCCGAGUAUCCACGUGGUGUGCAUCCAGUUCGCAAAAAAAAUUCAUCUUAAUUUUUGUCAAGCCAUGCAAUAGUUCUUCUUAAUUCUGUCACUUAAAUCAUUUAUCUAUAAAUCCUGGUUAAUUCCGGUUGUAACUACAGCCAUUACUAGAGGGUAAUAUUGUUGAGUUAUUGGUCAAGCGGUCACUUAUAGUUACUCCCUCUUUUUCACAAGUGUUGGCAUAUUUUAUUUCGUUAAGACAAGACUUUGACCAAUAAUUCACAACGUGAAAACUCUGCGAACAUUCACGAACACACCAUGUGUGAGUAGUGCAAGUCCCUUUGUGUCCCUAAUUCGUUUUUUUAGAAGGUGUCCC
RNAcentral lists this long non-coding RNA (922 nucleotides) under Brachypodium distachyon (stiff brome). RNAcentral's name for it is "long non-coding RNA (BDIS_LNC003899)". The record is from RNAcentral. Lineage: Eukaryota; Viridiplantae; Streptophyta; Magnoliopsida; Poales; Poaceae.